GUGUCAGAGCCGCGGUAAUACGGAGGGUGCGAGCGUUAAUCGGAAUUCCUGGGCGUAAAGGGCACGCAGGCGGUUAAUUCAGUUGGAUGUGAAAUCCCCGGGCUUAACCUGGGAAUGGCAUUCAAGACUGGUUAGCUAGAGUCUUGUAGAGGGGGGUAGAAUUCCAUGUGUAGCGGUGAAAUGCGUAGAGAUGUGGAGGAAUACCGGUGGCGAAGGCGGCCCCCUGGACAGAGACUGACGCUCAGGUGCGAAAGCGUGGGGAGCAAACAGGAUUAGAUACCCUGGUAGUCCACGCUGUAAACGAUGUCGAUUUGGAGGUUGUGGUCAUGAAUUGUGGCCUCCGGAGCUAACGCGUUAAAUCGACCGCCUGGGGAGUACGGCCGCAAGGUUAAAACUCAAAGAAAUUGGCGG
RNAcentral lists this ribosomal RNA (411 nucleotides) under uncultured bacterium. RNAcentral's name for it is "bacterial SSU rRNA". It matches the Rfam family "Bacterial small subunit ribosomal RNA", at positions 505 to 916 of the family's 1533-position model. The record is from RNAcentral.